This 1297-nucleotide ribosomal RNA is filed under the name metagenome. RNAcentral's name for it is "bacterial LSU rRNA". It matches the Rfam family "Bacterial large subunit ribosomal RNA", at positions 1635 to 2925 of the family's 2925-position model. The record is from RNAcentral.
CACACGACCGUACCGCAAACCGACACUGGUGCGCGAGAUGAGUAUUCUAAGGCGCUUGAGAGAACUCAGGAGAAGGAACUCGGCAAAUUGACACCGUAACUUCGGAAGAAGGUGUGCCUUUAGUAGGUGAACCUGUACAAGGGGAGCCCAAUGAGGUUGCAAAAAAUCGGUGGCUGCGACUGUUUAAUAAAAACACAGCACUCUGCAAACACGAAAGUGGACGUAUAGGGUGUGACGCCUGCCCGGUGCUGGAAGAUUAAAUGAUGGGGUGCAAGCUCUUGAUUGAAGUCCCAGUAAACGGCGGCCGUAACGAUAACGGUCCUAAGGUAGCGAAAUUCCUUGUCGGGUAAGUUCCGACCUGCACGAAUGGCGUAACGAUGGCCACACUGUCUCCUCCUGAGACUCAGCGAAGUUGAAAUGUUUGUGAUGAUGCAAUCUCCCCGCGGAAAGACGGAAAGACCCCAUGAACCUUUACUGUAGCUUUGUAUUGGACUUGAACAGAUCUGUGUAGGAUAGGUGGGAGGCUUUGAAGUGUGGUCGCUAGAUCGCAUGGAGCCAACGUUGAAAUACCACCCUGGUGUGUUUGAGGUUCUAACCUAGGCCCGUAAUCCGGGUCGGGGACAGUGCAUGGUAGGCAGUUUGACUGGGGCGGUCUCCUCCCAAAGCGUAACGGAGGAGUUCGAAGGUACGCUAGGUACGGUCGGACAUCGUGCUAAUAGUGCAAUGGCAUAAGCGUGCUUAACUGCGAGACUGACAAGUCGAGCAGAUGCGAAAGCAGGACAUAGUGAUCCGGUGGUUCUGUAUGGAAGGGCCAUCGCUCAACGGAUAAAAGGUACUCUGGGGAUAACAGGCUGAUACCGCCCAAGAGUUCAUAUCGACGGCGGUGUUUGGCACCUCGAUGUCGGCUCAUCUCAUCCUGGGGCUGUAGCCGGUCCCAAGGGUAUGGCUGUUCGCCAUUUAAAGAGGUACGUGAGCUGGGUUUAAAACGUCGUGAGACAGUUUGGUCCCUAUCUUCCGUGGGCGCUGCAGAUUUGAGGAAGCCUGCUCCUAGUACGAGAGGACCGGAGUGGACACACCUCUGGUGUAUCGGUUGUCACGCCAGUGGCAUUGCCGAGUAGCUAUGUGUGGAAGAGAUAACCGCUGAAAGCAUCUAAGCGGGAAACUCGUUUCAAGAUGAGAUCUGCCGGGGCCUUGAGCCCCCUAAAGAGUCGUUCAAGACCAGGACGUUGAUAGGUCGGGUGUGGAAGCGCAGUAAUGCGUUAAGCUAACCGAUACUAAUUGCUCGUGCGGCUUGAUC